UACGUAGGGUGCAAGCGUUGUCCGGAAUUAUUUGGGCGUAAAGAGCUCGUAGGCGGUUUGUCGCGUCUGCUGUGAAAACCCGAGGCUCAACCUCGGGCCUGCAGUGGGUACGGGGCAGACUAGAGUGCGGUAGGGGAGAUUGGAAUUCCUGGUGUAGCGGUGGAAUGCGCAGAUAUCAGGAGGAACACCAAUGGCGAAGGCAGAUCUCUGGGCCGUAACUGACGCUGAGGAGCGAAAGCAUGGGGAGCGAACAGG
Molecule: ribosomal RNA, 255 nt
Filed under: uncultured bacterium
Lineage: Bacteria
Description: partial 16S ribosomal RNA
Rfam family: Bacterial small subunit ribosomal RNA
Source: RNAcentral